CAGAAAUUCUAUUGCAUUAACAUAAGUCUAACGACAUGGCCUGCCUCAAUAAAAGUGUGAUAAAGCCAUGAUGGGAUAAAAGAACUUAAGUUAAAAGCUCUGCCUUCCCCUAUUUACUUUUUUUUACACAUGGGAUCAGUUUUCACAUAGGAAGAUAGCUACAGAGCUUAAUUUCUUUGGUGGUGGAAAUAGUAUUGAAACAUCACAGUUACAGCUACAAGACACUGACCUGCAGGGAAAUGAGGAAAGCUGCACAUCUGGUAGGAAAAUCAGAGGAGUCAUCACAGAGAAAAUCCUGAGCUGUCCGGCUAGUCCUGG
This 318-nucleotide long non-coding RNA is filed under the name Gallus gallus (chicken). Its description in RNAcentral is "long non-coding RNA NONGGAT012574". Lineage: Eukaryota; Metazoa; Chordata; Aves; Galliformes; Phasianidae. The record is from RNAcentral.